Molecule: ribosomal RNA, 464 nt
Filed under: uncultured bacterium
Lineage: Bacteria
Description: partial 16S ribosomal RNA
Rfam family: Bacterial small subunit ribosomal RNA
Source: RNAcentral
CCUACGGGCGGCUGCAGUAGGGAAUCUUCCACAAUGGGCGAAAGCCUGAUGGAGCAACGCCGCGUGGGUGAAGAAGGUCUUCGGAUCGUAAAACUUUGUUGUUAGAGAAGAAAGUGCGUGAGAGUAACCGUUCACGUUUCGACGGGAUCUAACCAGAAAGCCACGGUCCACUACGUGCAAGCAGCCGCGGCAAUACGUAGGUGGCAAGCGUUAUUCGGAUUUUUUGGGUUUAAAGGGUGCGCAGGCGGUCUGUUAAGUCAGCGGUAAAAGCCCGGGGCUCAACCCCGGCGAGCCGUUGAAACUGGCGGGCUGGAGUUGGAGAGAGGUACGCGGAAUGCGCGGUGUAGCGGUGAAAUGCUUAGAUAUCGCGCAGAACCCCGAUUGCGAAGGCAGCGUACCGGCUCCACACUGACGCUGAGGCACGAAAGCGUGGGUAUCGAACAGGAUUAGAUACCCGAGUAGUC